GAUUUGAGAUCUAAACCUGCUUACAGAAUUUGUAAACUUUAAGACGAAAGGGGAGAACUAAGCUUACCAGCUUUUAAGUUAACAGAAAUAGUAUUUUAAUGACCCAUGGUGAGCAAAUGUGAAGAAAAAGGUUUUUUGUUUUGUUUUGUUUUGUUUUUACCUUUAAUAUCUACUACGUUCUUAAGAAAGCAAACAAUUUUGUCCCUAUAAUCAGCAUACUUUUUAGAAGAAAAACCUUUUGUUUUUUAUUGUUUUGUUUUUGAAGAUAGCUUAUGAAAUGUAACAAUAGCAUUGAAUUUCUUGCUCAUUCCAGCACAUUUCUCUUUAUUAAAAAAUGCCCUUAAAACAAAGCAGAUGUUUAUUUCUAAGUCUUUUCUCAUGAAAAUGGAAUUUUUCCCUAUGCCGAUGUUGUCCUGGAUUACCUUUUUUGUCCUGUCUUAUCACUUCGUCUCCUGUCUCGGGUUUCUGGCUGUCUGUUCCUAUUUCUAUUUGAUGUUGUGCUCUCACUUCACACCCAGCAUGUAGAAUCACCUUGCUCUUCCAACUUCCCUGUCUGUGCCACUCACCUUGUUUUACUCAGCCCGUUCCUUAGUUCUCUGUGGUGAAUCUGUCACCUAAGCCAUGCAUUCUUCAUCGGACAUGUAUUUUGGUUCUCUUGUUUCCUUCUCCAUCUCCCUCUCCAAGCCUCUCGAGCCCCAUUCCCAAGUAGCUUUUUUUCUGACUACCUUUCUGGGCUCCAAGCUAUACCUGUGUCUCCUUCCUGCCCUGCAGUACAUUACCCCAAAGUUUGUCAGAUUGAUCUGCUUGAGUUCUGUUUUCUUUUUUCAUCACGUUUUUUCUUUUCUCUGAAACUUUCAGCAGCUCCCUGUUUCCAGAACAUAAAGACUUAACUCCUGCCUGGUUUUUAGGGGUCCCAGUAAUGGGAUUCUGCCCAACCCAUCCAGUUCUGGGUACAAGUACUGCCUGCCUUACAAUCUCCAUUCAGGUAAGGCCAGGGCUCCUAAGAGCAGGUUUGGGGUCCCCAGCAAAGAGGAGUGGCUACAAAUCCAUGCGUGACUUUGUGUUGGUGAAAAACCUAGGCCCCGUUGCCAGGCCCCUUUCUGGACCCCACCUGAAUCAUGUGUACUGGGCUUCCUCCUGGGCACUGCCUCCAAUGCAGGGUUGUCUAUUCCUGCUCAUGUCAUGCGACGAAAAGGAAAUGUUGGACAUACAUUUCCCUAGCAGAAUCCCUCUUUCCCUGUCCUCGAUUUUCAUUGAUCCCAUGUUAUUUCUGAACAUUCAUGAGUCACGCAUCAGAUACAUUUAAUAUCAGAUCCUAAUUUAAAAAGUAAAUGCUACUCUUCCAAAAGUACACAUGAUGUGGUCACUAUACUGGGUCAUAAAGAUGUAUGGGUUUUCAGUUAGUUAGACUUAGACCGUUUUGAAACUUUUCUCUGUUAACCAUUUAUAUAUCCCUGGUCGUAUGGAGCUCCAGUGGUGCAGUCGGUUAGCACAUGGUACUUACAUACCCUUGGUCCUGUAGCCCCAGCAUGUGGUGGUGAUCACUAGUUAAAUAUCAGAGUCAGCAAAUAGUGUGAACAGGUUCCAUUUCUUGCCCUUGAUCCCCUUUUGCAUCCAUUGUUGAAUCUGUAUGAUACUUUUUCAUCAUAAUUUUUCUAUUCAAAAAGUGUGCAGGUUUUAGCUUUUCUCUUGGUGUAAAACAGUUACACUCUUCCCUUUGCCUUUCCCUGUACAUUAGAAUCUAUACCAUAGGAAAGCUUCCAUGGAACCAAGCUCCACUCUGACACCCCUGUUAAAUUCAUACACUGCUGUGACCUGUCAUGGCUUUGUCCCUGUCCCUGCACAAUGCGCGGGAAUGAAUUGGUUGGUGUGUUCGGUGCGAGACUACGUGACACCCCUCCCAUCCCCUUGGCCCAUUGAAUUGAGUAGAACAUAAUUUAUGCUUCGCAUUGUAUCUUUAAUUUUUAUUCUUCUGCCAUGUUGAUGCCCUUGGGGACUAUUGGAGGUUGGAGUCGCUUCCAGACUAUGUUGUGUUCCAGCUGUCUUCUUGCUCCUUCCUGAAGGCCAGCUUGUUCUCUGCUCCUGUUACCUCUGCCUGCUGGUACUGCUUGUGUUGUCUGCCUCUGUCUUGAACAUUACUUUCCUCCCUUUCCAUCUUCCUUAUUUCUUCCGUGUUCUUUUCUACUAUUCCCCGUCUCUCAUUCUUCCUGUCUUUGGAACCAACAGAAUGUUUUUUGGUGAUGUCGUUUUUUUUCCCCUCAAAUGGAAAAUAGUAGACCCAUAGCUCCCAAAAUCCUGGGACCUUUGGUUUUUCUUUAUCAUCUUUAUACUGAUUGAACAACUCUUCUAGAUAGUUGGGGUAUCAGAAACCUAAGCUUCUGAUCAGCAGGGUGUUGGAAUACAACAUAAUUCAGCUAAAAGGUUAAUUCCACAUGCCGUUUUAUCAUGAUGUUCUAAGGUCAGUUGUUAGAACACAGAGUAGGUGGUCUUUUUCCUGUUACUGAUCAGGUGCUGUCCACCUGGUCAAAUUUUGCUGGUUGUUUAAUUAGUGUUGCUGUUUCUUCUCUUUAAGUCAAGAGGUGUUGCCAAAGAUUCACGAAGAUAAACACUACCCUUGUACUUUGGUGGGGACUUGGAACACGUGGUAUGGCGAGCAGGACCAAGCUGUCCACCUCUGGAGGUAUGAAGGAGGCUAUCCAGCCCUCACAGAAGUCAUGAAUAAACUCAGAGAAAAUAAGGAAUUUUUGGAAUUUCGUAAGGCAAGAAGUGACAUGCUUCUCUCCAGGAAGAAUCAGCUCCUGUUGGAGUUCAGUUUCUGGAAUGAGCCUGUGCCAAGAUCCGGACCUAAUAUAUAUGAACUCAGGUCUUACCAACUCCGACCAGGAACCAUGAUUGAAUGGGGCAAUUACUGGGCUCGUGCAAUCCGCUUCAGACAGGAUGGUAAUGAAGCCGUCGGGGGAUUCUUCUCUCAGAUUGGGCAGCUUUACAUGGUGCACCAUCUUUGGGCUUACAGGGAUCUUCAGACCAGGGAAGACAUACGGAAUGCAGCAUGGCACAAACAUGGCUGGGAGGAAUUGGUAUAUUACACAGUUCCACUUAUUCAGGAAAUGGAAUCCAGAAUCAUGAUCCCACUGAAGACUUCGCCCCUCCAGUAAAGCUGUAGAGUUUCUAUGUGCCUACGUACAUUUCUGUGACAAGUAUUUGUCAUAAAUUAAUUUUAAUUGUGUAUCAAGUGAAAAAGAAACACUGAGGUUUUAAGCUGCUGUAUAUAGCUUGUGAGAAACCUCUUUUCUUUAAAAUUUACAUAAUCACAAGAAAGGAAUUACAGUUGGACUGAUUGUGACAGUGCCCUGUCGUCCUCUUUGAAACACCCCCGUGUUGUCCAGUAUACCUUAUAACACUUAGCCACUUCUCCCCACCCUCCAGAAGGGGUCCACAUUGAAUUCUGAAUCAUCUUGAAAAUAAGAUUCCAACCACAAAAAAAAAAUUAGCCAUUUCUUUAACUAAAAAAAAAACAAAAAACAAAUCUGUUUUAUAAUCACAGAUUUUUCGACAAAUUUCUUGUAUCAGGAAGAAAUACAAAUUUUGUCAUGUUUCUCAAGCAGUUUUUCUGAGUAGUUUCUGAGGAGGAACAAAUUACAAGUGUACCCAAUAACUGAAAAUGUUUUAACUCACUCUCAUUUGUAAGCAGUCCACAUAGUAGACAAUGGGUUUUCCAAGCUGGGCAAGGUACAUUUAAUCAGUAAAUCAGUUUCACAUCAUGUAUUGUGAUGUUUCAAUGUGAGACACAAAAACAAUGGCUUGAAACUUGUGUAUCAUAUGUGAUUUUGAAAUGAACACCUUGAAUAGCACUAAUUUUUAUUUGUGGUAUUUUUCUAUAACAAAACAAGUAGCUCUAGGAAAAGAGGUUUUAUUUUGUAAACGAUCAUUUGUGACCUCAGACACUCUCUGGCUAAUAUUUUAAUAAGCUCACAGCAGAUAAUUCUGAGAUCAUGGAUGAGGGGUGGUGCAUGUUGAGAUUUAAAUUGGCAUAAAGCUGCAUACUUUUUGUCUAGCUGUUUGAUUUCAUUUUUUAAUAUAGUAUGCCAAUUUUGUGACUGUUACCAUGUGAAAGUCCUGUUGAAAUGAACAAUUGUCUGCCCCACAAUCAAGAAUGUAUGUGUAAAGUGUGAAUAAAUCUCAUAUCAAAUGUCAAACUUUUACAUGUGAAUGAAAAAGUUUUCUCAAAGAACAUAGAAAAGUCAAUAAAAUCCUCUUAAUUUUCAC
This 4266-nucleotide small RNA is filed under the name Pan troglodytes (chimpanzee). Its description in RNAcentral is "retained intron". The record is from RNAcentral. Lineage: Eukaryota; Metazoa; Chordata; Mammalia; Primates; Hominidae.